AGCGAACGCUGGCGGCAUGCCUUACACAUGCAAGUCGAACGGUAACAGGUCUUCGGAUGCUGACGAGUGGCGAACGGGUGAGUAAUACAUCGGAACGUGCCUAGUAGUGGGGGAUAACUACUCGAAAGAGUGGCUAAUACCGCAUGAGAUCUACGGAUGAAAGCAGGGGAUCGCAAGACCUUGUGCUACUAGAGCGGCCGAUGGCAGAUUAGGUAGUUGGUGGGAUAAAAGCUUACCAAGCCGACGAUCUGUAGCUGGUCUGAGAGGACGAUCAGCCACACUGGGACUGAGACACGGCCCAGACUCCUACGGGAGGCAGCAGUGGGGAAUUUUGGACAAUGGGCGAAAGCCUGAUCCAGCAAUGCCGCGUGCAGGAUGAAGGCCUUCGGGCUGUAAACUGCUUUUGUACGGAACGAAAAGCCCCGGGUUAAUACCCUGGGGUCAUGACGGUACCGUAAGAAUAAGCACCGGCUAACUACGUGCCAGCAGCCGCGGUAA
This 498-nucleotide ribosomal RNA is filed under the name uncultured bacterium. Its description in RNAcentral is "partial 16S ribosomal RNA". It matches the Rfam family "Bacterial small subunit ribosomal RNA", at positions 29 to 523 of the family's 1533-position model. The record is from RNAcentral.